Molecule: non-coding RNA, 2529 nt
Organism: Cicer arietinum (chickpea)
Lineage: Eukaryota; Viridiplantae; Streptophyta; Magnoliopsida; Fabales; Fabaceae
Source: RefSeq, a predicted model, not a curated record
GUGAUUUUUAUAAAAACUUAAAAAACACUUCAAAUCAAUAUCCCAACUGUAUCAGUUGGAGCGGAAGAUAGAUUAGAUUGGCGACCCUAAACCCUCCUUCUCUUGCCGGAUAUUAAGGUUACAAGUUGUGUGAAACUUAAAAACAAACCAUCUACGCCAUUUAAGACUACAAGGAAUCAUGCUGACACCUAUAGACUAGUGAUCACUCACACUUGUUCAUGGUGUUUGGAUACACGUUUUAGUGCAUUCGCUCGUGUCCCAAAGCCACCGUUCGUUAGAAGCUACAAAUUGAAGCGUUCAUUUGAAUAGAAGGUGAUGCUUUUGUUGGGUGUAUGAUUGCAGUGGAACAAGGAACUUGUUACCACCUGCUUUUAUUCUUUACCAGAGUCGAUAAAUUGUUUUUGGUGUAUCAACUCUGGAGGUGGUAUUGACAUCUUCAUGGGCUUGUUUCUUGGAGCACUGUACAGCCCUCUAAUCCAAGAAGUGAUUGGCAGACACCGGCUUAUAUAUGAAGCAAAGAAGAUGGGACGGAGGGGUUGGAGUUCAGCCAGAGCAUUUGCUGUUAUGGGUUUACUAUUCUCAGUUGCUGAAUGCUGAGUAUGUUGUUGAGAAGGUCUAAUGGGUUUGGGAAUGAAAGUGUGUAUUUGCAUCAAGCAUUCGAGUUUCAUUCUUCAUCCUAUCAUCUGGGUCCCUUUCCAGGCACGAGCAAAACAUGGCUACACAAAUACUGUUGUUGGUGGGUGUGCUACUGGAGGUGCAAUAUCAACAAAAGGUAACCCUGUUUUUUCAUUCAUUUUCUGUCAAUUUAUACUGAUGAGGCAUGUACAUAUACAGACUUGGAAACCUUAUACUUUGAACAGUGUUAAGAUGCACUUUGAAAAGUUUUUUAGGUUAGAAAUUUUUGUAGUCGCACUUGACACUUUGUUCAUGCUCAUUAUUAGGAGAAUGCUGCUUUCUAAAAAAGCUAGUUCUUGUAUUGCAUCAAAUGCAUGGCACCAAAGGGUGCACUGCACAUCAUUGUCUCUAUAGUGCAUACUCAAGGAGACUGGGUUUGGGUGUGUCUGGGAUUAGUGAGAGUAGCAGUGAUGGGUUGACUAGAUCAAGGGUGAUGCAAUGCCUGCACAAGCAUUGGUACUCACGACUCAUGAGCUGGAUUCACUUGGAUGCCAUUGGAAGAGAGAAUGCUCCUUACAUAGGUGUUAUUAGUGCCCUAGAGGAGGGACUGCUUCUCUAAUUCUUUAUUGAGUGUGGUGUCAAUGGAGAGCACAAAGUGGUCUUCAUUAAGUGCACUUCUAGUGGUUUGGGGUCUUUGGGGGUGGCUUAGCAACAUUUAUCUUGAUAUAUUUCACCCCAAAACAGAAGGCCAUUGGUAAAACUAUUUUGUUUAUCCCCUUUUCUAAGUUGUUUUCGAUUUAAAUAUAAUUUAAUGUUAUUGAGAACCGGAAAUCAGAAUAAGUUUUUGUAGCAAUAAAUUUUCAUUGGUUUCUGACAGUGGUACUAUAUGGAUGUAGUUCUGCUGCAUAUGGGCAUUGUAAUUCUAGUUUAACUUCUCUUGUUCUUUCGUUCAUCUUUUCUCUCAUUGCUGAAGAAAGUUGUGCAUUGGAGGCUGCAAAGAUGAAUGAAAAGCAAAAUGAUGAAAAAUGAGAGAAGAAACCAAAAUCAGAGGGGGUAAUGAUCCGGCAAACCAAUAAUUGAAAUCCUCAAUGAUAUAAAUCUGUAUGAGUUUAGUCAAUUUUUAUUGUUUCCAAUGUUUUCAUAGGUAGGCCAAAAGCUGCAUGUGUGUUAGUAGGCCUCCUAUUACAAGUUUAUGUUAGGCAAAGGCCCAAUUAACAGGCCCAGUUUAAGUUAAUUGCACGUGUUAAAUAGAAUAAGGGUAGGAAGCUGUUAGCAAUUCGGUAGUUUUAUGUUGGUUUGGGUUCUUAGAGGUUGUUGUGUUAGUUAAUAGCAGUUAUUUUAUUUCAAUUACAGCAGUUUGUAUAUCUCCCUGUUCCUGUAACCCACUCUGCAGAAAACUAUUCUCAAGAGUAUUACUAAUCAUAAUACCAGUUCCAUUCAAUAUAUAUCGUCUUUCUCUUACCCGUUUAUACCAGAUCUAUCAAUAUGCUGAUUGUGCUAGCUUUGCAGCAUUCUCCAUCGUGAUACUGAUAGAGAAGUUUUUGGAGAGGCAUGAAUAGUUUGAGUUCUUGGUGAAAAUAUUCUGUCCAUGUGAAGGGAGCACACAAAUUGCAGUAUAGGAUUUAUUUCACAUUGGUAAUUUAUUUGUAUACAAUGUGAUUGGCGGAUGCACUCUUCAAACUGGGGAAAGCUCUGAUGCAAUGCCAUAUUUUAGGAUUGAUUAAUUUAAAUAGUUUUAUUUUGGUAUUACAUUCACUUGAAAAUAGAAAAGAGGGAAAGACUGAAUUAUUUCACUUGAUUGAAACAUAGAAACUGAUACAAAUAUAGAGAUCCUAAUUACUGUAUCAAUGAAAUGAAAGAUAUGCUGCAACCUCAUGCAUAACAAAUGAGAAAGCAAGACUGCUUAUUUUCCUA